Schistosoma mansoni is the source of this 48-nucleotide non-coding RNA. NCBI's taxonomy places the organism in Eukaryota, Metazoa, Platyhelminthes, Trematoda, Strigeidida, Schistosomatidae. The record is from Rfam.
AUCCAGCUAACGAGUCCCAAACAGGACGAAACGCGCGUCGAACUGGAU